AAAUUAUUCAGAAAAAUAGGAAAGCCAAACACAGCCUUCAGAAACUGCACAACUGUGGAAACUAACACGCUGAUACCUUGAUACUGCUUUCCCGACAGUGAAGGUGGCGUGUGCGUGUGUGUGUGUGUGUUCGUUCGCUUCGCUUGCUUUUUGCUGCGUAUCAGCCCCAUCAAAACCUCAGUGGGAGACAAGACACAGUUAAUUCCGACUACCUAAUUCCGAUCUGAGAAUUUCGCGGCACAAAACCCAUUGAUUGAUGCGCUUUCGCUCUCGCGGAGGGAUAUUUUCUUCGAUCCUUUGUUAUCAACGUCGAAAAUUUACAGAUCUUUCGUACAGAAACCGGAACGUCACAGGAAUCGCGUUAAUUAUACUUCAGUUUCCUCUGUACCCAGUAAAAUUUUACUGGGCUGCCACAAGUUGCAGCUGUUGAGCGAUUUUGAGGCGAAAACUGGAGGAAACUGGAAAGCCCAUUUGCUGGGGGGCAGUGUUUUUUUGUUGUUGUAGUGGUGUAGAAUGAGCUUGCGAUAGUUUGGAUUUCUGGGUUUUGGUAUUUUUGUCUUGGGAUUGUAAAGAUGUCCAAUGAUGCUAAUUCGAUUUCGUAUAGGGGGAUGUCUUCCGACAAUAUUAAAGGGUUGGUGUUGGCUUUAUCCUCCAGUUUCUUUAUUGGCGCCAGCUUCAUCGUUAAGAAAAAGGGAUUAAAGAAAGCCGGUGCUUCUGGCGUCAGGGCUGGAGUCGGAGGGUAUUCAUAUCUAUACGAGCCACUAUGGUGGACAGGCAUGAUAACAAUGAUUGUCGGAGAAAUUGCCAAUUUUGCGGCUUAUGCAUUUGCACCAGCCAUUCUGGUUACCCCUCUUGGUGCACUCAGCAUUAUUAUCAGUGCUGUACUUGCACAUGUUAUUUUAAGGGAGAGGCUACACAUUUUUGGUGUUCUUGGUUGUGCUUUAUGUGUGGUGGGCUCAACCACGAUCGUCCUACAUGCUCCACAAGAACGUGAGAUUGAAUCUGUCAGAGAAGUCUGGGACCUUGCUACAGAGCCGGCUUUUGUCUUUUAUGCAGUUCUGGUGAUAGCGACCGUGCUCAUUCUAAUAUUUCGUUAUGUUCCUCAAUAUGGCCAGACGCAUAUAUGGUUCUACAUUGGUGUCUGUUCACUAGUUGGUUCAUUGUCGGUCAUGAGUGUCAAAGCACUGGGAAUUGCACUAAAGCUGACAUUGUCAGGAAUGAAUCAACUAACAUAUCCCCAGACAUGGGUCUUCGCUAUGGUUGUCAUUGUUUGUGUCCUCACUCAGAUGAAUUACCUAAAUAAGGCCCUAGACACAUUCAACACCGCCGUAGUUUCACCCAUUUACUAUGUCAUGUUCACAUCCUUGACUAUUGUUGCCAGUGUGAUCAUGUUCAAGGAUUGGGACAGGCAGAAUCCAACCCAGAUUGUCACAGAACUCUGUGGAUUUGUGACUAUUCUUUCGGGGACCUUUCUUCUUCACAGGACAAAAGACAUGACCGACGGUUCUAUGGUGGCCUCGAGACUCGCAAAGCAUGGUAAUGAAGAUGGUUUUGGUGAUGAAGGCAUCCCUCUGAGGCGGCAGGAUUCGUCAAGAACGCCGUGAUGUAUUUUUCUUAUUCCUCGUUGACUUGUAACUCUUUCUGUCGAAAGCGAGCUCCCAAAAUCAUGCUCUUUGGGGAAGGAAAACCUACAAGAGUGCCAGCAGCCUUCAAUUUUCUUCUUGUAAAUGUAUUUUUGCCAGGUUUUUUCUUUUAUUACAAACCACAAUUGCAGUUUUGCACGCCAAAAAAUGUGGCAAAAUUCACAUUCCAUGUCAGGGGAAAAAAGGAAAAAAAAAAAAACCCA
Non-coding RNA from Sesamum indicum (sesame), 1846 nucleotides. Lineage: Eukaryota; Viridiplantae; Streptophyta; Magnoliopsida; Lamiales; Pedaliaceae. The record is from RefSeq and is a predicted model, not a curated record.